This 2992-nucleotide ribosomal RNA is filed under the name Aeromonas caviae. Its description in RNAcentral is "bacterial LSU rRNA". It matches the Rfam family "Bacterial large subunit ribosomal RNA". The record is from RNAcentral. Lineage: Bacteria; Pseudomonadati; Pseudomonadota; Gammaproteobacteria; Aeromonadales; Aeromonadaceae.
GUUGUAUGGUUAAGUGACUAAGCGUACAUGGUGGAUGCCUUGGCAGUCAGAGGCGAUGAAGGACGUACUAACCUGCGAUAAGCCGUGAGCAGUCGGUAAGAGACAUUACGACUCACGGAUUUCCGAAUGGGGAAACCCACUUAGCAUAAGCUAGGUAUCGCUNCGUGAAUACAUAGCGUAGCGAGGCGAACCGGGAGAACUGAAACAUCUAAGUACCCCGAGGAAAAGAAAUCAACCGAGAUUCCCUCAGUAGCGGCGAGCGAACGGGGAUUAGCCCUUAAGCAUCUUGGAAGUUAGUGGAACGGUCCUGGAAAGGCCGGCGAUACAGGGUGAUAGCCCCGUACACGAAAACAACCUUGAUGUGAAAUCGAGUAGGGCGGGACACGUGACAUCCUGUCUGAAUAUGGGGGGACCAUCCUCCAAGGCUAAAUACUCCUGACUGACCGAUAGUGAACCAGUACCGUGAGGGAAAGGCGAAAAGAACCCCUGUGAGGGGAGUGAAAUAGAACCUGAAACCGUGUACGUACAAGCAGUGGGAGCCCUUCGGGGUGACUGCGUACCUUUUGUAUAAUGGGUCAGCGACUUACAUUUUGUAGCGAGGUUAACCGUAUAGGGGAGCCGUAGGGAAACCGAGUCUUAACUGGGCGUCUAGUUGCAAGGUGUAGACCCGAAACCGGGUGAUCUAGCCAUGGGCAGGUUGAAGGUUGAGUAACAUCAACUGGAGGACCGAACCCACUAACGUUGCAAAGUUAGGGGAUGACCUGUGGCUGGGGGUGAAAGGCCAAUCAAACUCGGAGAUAGCUGGUUCUCCCCGAAAGCUAUUUAGGUAGCGCCUCGGACGAAUACUACUGGGGGUAGAGCACUGUUUGGGCUAGGGGGUCAUCCCGACUUACCAACCCCAUGCAAACUCCGAAUACCAGUAAGUANUAUCCGGGAGACACACGGCGGGUGCUAACGUCCGUCGUGAAGAGGGAAACAACCCAGACCGCCGGCUAAGGUCCCAAAGUUCUGGUUAAGUGGGAAACGAUGUGGGAAGGCUCAGACAGCUAGGAUGUUGGCUUAGAAGCAGCCAUCAUUUAAAGAAAGCGUAAUAGCUCACUAGUCGAGUCGGCCUGCGCGGAAGAUGUAACGGGGCUCAAACCAGGCACCGAAGCCGCGGAUUCACGCUAAGCGUGAGUGGUAGGGGAGCGUUCUGUAAGUCUGCGAAGGUGUNUCGAGAGGNAUGCUGGAGAUAUCAGAAGUGCGAAUGCUGACGUAAGUAACGAUAAAGGGGGUGAAAAGCCUCCUCGCCGGAAGACCAAGGGUUCCUGUCCAACGUUAAUCGGGGCAGGGUGAGUCGACCCCUAAGGUGAGGCCGAAAGGCGUAAUCGAUGGGAAGCAGGUUAAUAUUCCUGCACGACUUGUAAUUGCGAUGGGGGGACGGAGAAGGCUAGGUGGGCCAGGCGACGGUUGUCCUGGUGAAAGUGCGUAGGUGGUGUUUCUAGGCAAAUCCGGAGACACAACACUGAGACACGAGACGAACGCACCACGGUGCGGAAGCCAUUGAUGCCCUGCUUCCAGGAAAAGCCUCUAAGCUUCAGAUUACAAGUCAUCGUACCCCAAACCGACACAGGUGGUCGGGUAGAGAAUACCAAGGCGCUUGAGAGAACUCGGGUGAAGGAACUAGGCAAAAUAGAACCGUAACUUCGGGAGAAGGUUCGCUCUUGAUGGUGAAGUCCCUUGCGGAUGGAGCUGUCGGGAGUCGCAGUGACCAGAUGGCUGGGACUGUUUAUCAAAAACACAGCACUCUGCAAACACGAAAGUGGACGUAUAGGGUGUGACACCUGCCCGGUGCCGGAAGGUUAAUUGAUGGGGUUAGCGCAAGCGAAGCUCUUGAUCGAAGCCCCGGUAAACGGCGGCCGUAACUAUAACGGUCCUAAGGUAGCGAAAUUCCUUGUCGGGUAAGUUCCGACCUGCACGAAUGGUGUAACCAUGGCCAUGCUGUCUCCACCCGAGACUCAGUGAAAUCGAAUUCGCCGUGAAGAUGCGGUGUACCCGCGGCUAGACGGAAAGACCCCGUGAACCUUUACUACAGCUUGGCACUGAACAUUGAACCUACAUGUGUAGGAUAGGUGGGAGGCUUUGAAGGCGUGACGCCAGUUGCGCUGGAGCCGUCCUUGAAAUACCACCCUUGUAUGUUUGAUGUUCUAACGCAGGGCCCUGAAUCGGGCUCGCGGACAGUGCCUGGUGGGUAGUUUGACUGGGGCGGUCUCCUCCCAAAGAGUAACGGAGGAGCACGAAGGUUGGCUAAUCCUGGUCGGACAUCAGGAGGUUAGUGCAAUGGCAUAAGCCAGCUUAACUGCGAGACGGACAGGUCGAGCAGGUACGAAAGUAGGUCAUAGUGAUCCGGUGGUUCUGAAUGGAAGGGCCAUCGCUCAACGGAUAAAAGGUACUCCGGGGAUAACAGGCUGAUACCGCCCAAGAGUUCAUAUCGACGGCGGUGUUUGGCACCUCGAUGUCGGCUCAUCACAUCCUGGGGCUGAAGUCGGUCCCAAGGGUAUGGCUGUUCGCCAUUUAAAGUGGUACGCGAGCUGGGUUCAGAACGUCGUGAGACAGUUCGGUCCCUAUCUGCCGUGGGCGUUGGAUGAUUGAAGGGAGUUGCUCCUAGUACGAGAGGACCGGAGUGAACGAACCUCUGGUGUUCGGGUUGUCACGCCAGUGGCACUGCCCGGUAGCUAAGUUCGGAAUCGAUAACCGCUGAAAGCAUCUAAGCGGGAAGCGAGCCCUGAGAUGAGUCAUCCCUGACCCCUUGAGGGUCCUAAAGGGCCGUUGGAGACCACAACGUUGAUAGGUGGGGUGUGUAAGCGUAGCGAUACGUUGAGCUAACCCAUACUAAUUACCCGUGAGGCUUAACCAUACAACACCCAAGAAGUGUUCAGCGUAGCGAUACGUUGAGCUAACCCAUACUAAUUACCCGUGAGGCUUAACCAUACAACACCCAAGAAGUGUUCUG